This 584-nucleotide long non-coding RNA is filed under the name Homo sapiens (human). RNAcentral's name for it is "HSALNT0306741". Lineage: Eukaryota; Metazoa; Chordata; Mammalia; Primates; Hominidae. The record is from RNAcentral.
UCAGGGAGAGGGCAGCCUUGGCUUCAUUCAGAAUCAAAUGACAUUAUUUCCUCUUACCCAAUAUUAGUCAUAUGCUCAUCCCCUUUUUUUAUAGUAGAUGAACAGCUCUGUUUGGAUCUCCCUGAACUUCAAAAAGACCUUUGUAUGCAGAGCUGUUGCAGAGAGGCAAAUGAUUAUGGGAUCAUUUAUUUAUAUUAUUAUGGCACAAUAGAAGUCACUUUGGUCCUUGAAUGUGUUCCAGUGACUCAAGAUAUUUUUUCCGAUGUUUUCUGACCUCUGCUCCUUUUCAAAUUCUCCCAUCUCUGAUAAAUUAGCUUCAAAACCACAGAAAAACCACAGCUGUGUUUGUUCAUCAGGGGCAUGAAGAAUGAAAGUAACUGUUUUCAUGAGGAAUCUUCAAAGGAGAGAAGCAGGCAACGUGGCUCCCAGGAAAAUGGCUUGAACAGAACCCAUGAGAGGAAGGCUGUCAGUUCAUGGAAGGGUUAUUCAUGAUAAUUUAUCAUUGAGGUCUGGCAGCCAAGAUGGCCGAAUAGGAACAGCUCUGGUCUACAGCUCCCAGCGUGAGCGACGCAGAAGACGGGUGA